This 449-nucleotide ribosomal RNA is filed under the name uncultured bacterium. RNAcentral's name for it is "partial 16S ribosomal RNA". It matches the Rfam family "Bacterial small subunit ribosomal RNA", at positions 328 to 793 of the family's 1533-position model. The record is from RNAcentral.
UUUCCAGACUCCUACGGGAGGCAGCAGUGGGGAAUAUUGCACAAUGGGGGAAACCCUGAUGCAGCGACGCCGCGUGGGUGAAGAAGUAUUUCGGUCUGUAAAGCCCUAUCAGCAGGGAAGAAGAAUGACGGUACCUGACUAAGAAGCACCAGCUAAAUACGUGCCAGCAGCCGCGGUAAUACGUAGGUGGCAAGCGUUGUCCGGAUUUACUGGGUGUACAGGGCGUGCAGCCGGGCUGACAAGUCAGAUGUGAAAUCCCGCGGCUCAACCGCGGAACUGCAUUUGAAACUGUCAGUCUUGAGUACCGGAGAGGUCAUCGGAAUUCCUUGUGUAGCGGUGAAAUGCGUAGAUAUAAGGAAGAACACCAGUGGCGAAGGCGGAUGACUGGACGGCAACUGACGGUGAGGCGCGAAAGCGUGGGGAGCAAACAGGAUUAGAUACCCGAGUAA